RNAcentral lists this long non-coding RNA (691 nucleotides) under Phasianus colchicus (ring-necked pheasant). RNAcentral's name for it is "lncRNA (ENSPCLG00000010672.1)". Lineage: Eukaryota; Metazoa; Chordata; Aves; Galliformes; Phasianidae. The record is from RNAcentral.
UUGAGCUGAGUUUUCAGUUAAUUUUAUUCAGCACUAGGAAGCAUUGUCAGGAAAGUAGCAAGAUACAUAACCUGGGUCUUCAGAGGGAAGAAAGGCAACUGAAUUAAAGGCGUCUCAUCUGGUAAAUGAUGACGAUGUGUUGACAGAAGUUUCAGGACCAGUACAGAAAAAAACAUCAUUCUGAAGCUCUGGGAAAAUGGCGGAAUAUGUGCAGACAGGAAAGCCUCUGGACUCCUCAAGGGGACCUGCUCCCUAUGAGAUUUCCCUGAGCUGGUGGUCUUCUCUGCUAUGCUGCCUGGCAAAGAAUGCUGAGGCAGCUAUAGGUGAAAUGCUCAUAGGAAGAGAAAGGGUCUCUAUUGCUCCACUGCAUUUCUUGACUGCAUUCAGGUUGUGCUUGCUUGAAGAGAAGGAUGUUUACUUUAGGCAUCUUUUACCCAGUAACAAUUUGUUAUAAAUUCGGCUUACAUCAACAAACUGCUAUUUUUCCUCACAUUUCUCUAACAUUUUUGUCUUAGUGCAGAACAGCAAUAGAAAAUUGCUGCUAUUUGUCCCCAGAUUGAAGUAUUUAAGUAAAGUUAAAGACAAUGUCUUACAAUAAUGAUAGUACUCUGGAAGCCAACUACAUUAUUUUCACUAGAAAUGCAAAGUAAUAACAAGAAUUUCAAUUGAAAUCAGUUGGAUUCAGUACAUG